UACCAGCACCCCGAGUGGUCGGGACGUUUAUUGGGCCUAAAGCAUCCGUAGCCGGUUCUACAAGUCUUCCGUUAAAUCCAACUGCUUAACAGGUGGGCUGCGGAAGAUACUAUAGGGCUAGGAGGCGGGAGAGGCAAGCGGUACUCGAUGGGUAGGGGUAAAAUCCGUUGAUCCAUUGAAGACCACCAGUGGCGAAGGCGGCUUGCCAGAACGCGCUCGACGGUGAGGGAUGAAAGCUGGGGGAGCAAACCGG
RNAcentral lists this ribosomal RNA (253 nucleotides) under uncultured bacterium. Its description in RNAcentral is "partial 16S ribosomal RNA". It matches the Rfam family "Archaeal small subunit ribosomal RNA", at positions 474 to 727 of the family's 1478-position model. The record is from RNAcentral.